RNAcentral lists this transfer RNA (95 nucleotides) under Streptomyces gelaticus. RNAcentral's name for it is "tRNA-Gly". The record is from RNAcentral. Lineage: Bacteria; Bacillati; Actinomycetota; Actinomycetes; Kitasatosporales; Streptomycetaceae.
GCUGGCGUCUGGCCUGGUCAGGGGCCAUGCCGGCCUCGCAGGCGGCGUUGAUUCCCAAGCGCAGAGCGCGAGUUCAAUUCUCGUCACCCGCUCCA